UGGGGAAUAUUGCGCAAUGGGGGAAACCCUGACGCAGCGACGCCGCGUGUGGGAUGAAGGUCUUCGGAUUGUAAACCACUGUCGCGAGGGACGAAGCUCUGACGGUACCUCGAAAGGAAGCACCGGCUAACUCUGUGCCAGCAGCCGCGGUAAUACAGAGGGUGCGAGCGUUGUCCGGAAUCACUGGGCGUAAAGGGCGCGUAGGCGGCCCGGUAAGUAGGGGGUGAAAUCUCAUGGCUCAACUGUGAGGCUGCCUUCUAGACUGCCAGGCUUGAGCACAGUAGAGGCGAGUGGAAUUCCCGGUGUAGCAGUGAAAUGCGUAGAGAUGUGGAGGAACACCGAUGGCGAAGGCAGCCCCCUGGGUUAACACUGACGCUCAUGCACGAAAGCGUGGGGAGCAAACAGGAUUAGAUACCCAGGUAGUCCCUGAGCGGGCUGGCAAGGCGCAU
RNAcentral lists this ribosomal RNA (449 nucleotides) under uncultured bacterium. RNAcentral describes it as "bacterial SSU rRNA". It matches the Rfam family "Bacterial small subunit ribosomal RNA", at positions 355 to 825 of the family's 1533-position model. The record is from RNAcentral.